AGUUCAAAUUUUCAUCAUUUAUACUGUUAAAAACUGAUAUAGCUUACCGAAUAACCAGACAAUUGCACAUGGCAUGCCACAUGUACCUCAUGUUAAGAUACAAAGACCAGUUUUUAACCAUAGAAAUGAAUGAAACUUUUAAAUA
This is a non-coding RNA of Gossypium arboreum, 145 nucleotides long. The record is from Rfam. Lineage: Eukaryota; Viridiplantae; Streptophyta; Magnoliopsida; Malvales; Malvaceae.